RNAcentral lists this long non-coding RNA (309 nucleotides) under Carica papaya (papaya). Its description in RNAcentral is "long non-coding RNA (CPAP_LNC001894)". Lineage: Eukaryota; Viridiplantae; Streptophyta; Magnoliopsida; Brassicales; Caricaceae. The record is from RNAcentral.
UUGUACUAGUGGUUAUAUCCUUAUUGGUUAGGGUAGAGAUUACUAAUACAUAUUUUAAAGGUGGCUGUUCAAUGUUCAGAUGUUGAACAAACUCAUGUGAUGCAAAAGAGUGUGUAGAUCCUGGGCCUAUUAAAACUUUAGCAAGGUACUAAAGGUAGUGAACAUACCUUGGAUUACAUCUUGAGAGGAUUGAGCAUCUCGCUCUGUAAUGUCAUAUAUUCUUCUUUAAGUUGUUGGUCUGGUAUGUUUUUUGUUGAUAUGACAUUCUUUGAUCCGACAUUGAGUACUACCACAUCUGAAGCAUCCAUU